Molecule: ribosomal RNA, 497 nt
Filed under: uncultured bacterium
Lineage: Bacteria
Description: partial 16S ribosomal RNA
Rfam family: Bacterial small subunit ribosomal RNA
Source: RNAcentral
GAUGAACGCUGGCGGCGUGCCUAAUACAUGCAAGUCGAGCGAACAGAUAAGGAGCUUGCUCCUUUGACGUUAGCGGCGGACGGGUGAGUAACACGUGGGUAACCUACCUAUAAGACUGGGAUAACUUCGGGAAACCGGAGCUAAUACCGGAUAAUAUUUCGAACCGCAUGGUUCGAUAGUGAAAGAUGGUUUUGCUAUCACUUAUAGAUGGACCCGCGCCGUAUUAGCUAGUUGGUAAGGUAACGGCUUACCAAGGCGACGAUACGUAGCCGACCUGAGAGGGUGAUCGGCCACACUGGAAGUGAGACACGGUCCAGACUCCUACGGGAGGCAGCAGUAGGGAAUCUUCCGCAAGGGGCGAAAGCCUGACGGAGCAACGCCGCGUGAGUGAUGAAGGUCUUCGGAUCGUAAAACUCUGUUAUUAGGGAAGAACAUACGUGUAAGUAACUGUGCACGUCUUGACGGUACCUAAUCAGAAAGCCACGGCUAACUACGUG